This 642-nucleotide long non-coding RNA is filed under the name Heterocephalus glaber (naked mole-rat). Its description in RNAcentral is "lncRNA (ENSHGLG00000033512.1)". The record is from RNAcentral. Lineage: Eukaryota; Metazoa; Chordata; Mammalia; Rodentia; Bathyergidae.
GAUCACCACUUACUCAUACAACAAGUAGCAAAAUUCAUAUUGUACUGCUCUUAAAGUCAGAGUGACUGGACUCUAGGGCUUGGAGCAACCACUUUUCUGUGCAGCUAUGAAGAAAUCAGGGGUCCAUUCCAACUAAAAACUCGUGAAGAACUCAAAGAAAAAAUUUACACCUCCCCCCUUUUCAGGUAUGUCCAAAGGAAGAGAUGAAUUAAAGCCCCCCAAGGAGAUAAUACUCAGAAACGAUUGAGGGCAUUCACCAGCCAGACAGUCACAGAGUUCAUCAUGGCAGGGUAUCAGCCAGUACGGCAAAAGGAAGAGGUCCCCACUUGCCACCUGCCUCAUCAGAUCCAGGUCUAGCCCUGAUCUUCGCCCCUGGUCAGCAGGAAGAAGCUCCAGAAGAAGAGACCUUCGCCCAACUAUCAUAAAACAAAAGCCUGGAAUGAUAGGUCUCCCACCACCUCAGCAGCUAUUAUGUAUAGUUGCUGCCCUCUUCCUAUGGUGCCUUGCCCCUUCCCCUGUGUGACGUCAUGCCAAGAUGGUUGCUCCCACCAAAGAACAAACCCUUCUUCCCAGCAUGCCCCUGUUCCCACCUAGAGAGUAACCUAAUACUCACUCACCUCCUACCACCUAGUGACAUCACCG